CUUCCAGAGGCCCUGAGUUCUAUUCCCA
This 28-nucleotide non-coding RNA is filed under the name Cricetulus griseus (Chinese hamster). The record is from RNAcentral. Lineage: Eukaryota; Metazoa; Chordata; Mammalia; Rodentia; Cricetidae.